This 167-nucleotide unclassified non-coding RNA is filed under the name soil metagenome. RNAcentral's name for it is "partial contains 5.8S ribosomal RNA, internal transcribed spacer 2, and large subunit ribosomal RNA". The record is from RNAcentral.
AACGGUCUAUACCUGCGGUACCUGCGGAGGGAUCAUUAGUGAACGCCCUCACGGGCUUAUAACUAUUCCAAACCUCUGUGAACCGUGCCCUUCGGGGCUAUUUUACAAACAUGGUGUAAAGAACGUCAUAUAUCAUAACAAAACAAAACUUUCAACAACGGAUCUCU